UACGGAGGGUGCAAGCGUUAUCCGGAUUCACUGGGUUUAAAGGGAGCGUAGGUGGCUUUGUAAGUCAGUGGUGAAAUGUCGCGGCUCAACCGCGAAACUGCCAUUGAUACUGCUUAGCUUGAAUCACGUCGAGGUGGAUGGAAUAUUACAUGUAGCGGUGAAAUGCUUAGAUAUGUAAUAGAACACCGAUUGCGAAGGCAGUUCACUAGGCGUGUAUUGACACUGAGGCUCGAAAAGCGUGGGGGAUCAAAACAGGG
Molecule: ribosomal RNA, 257 nt
Filed under: uncultured bacterium
Lineage: Bacteria
Description: partial 16S ribosomal RNA
Rfam family: Bacterial small subunit ribosomal RNA
Source: RNAcentral